UACAGAGGUCCCGAGCGUUGUUCGGAUUCACUGGGCGUAAAGGGUGCGUAGGUGGUGGAGUAAGUUUGAUGUGAAAUCUCCGGGCUUAACCCGGAAACUGCAUUGAAUACUAUUCCGCUGGAGGUUUGGAGGGGGGACUGGAAUUCCUGGUGUAGCGGUGAAAUGCGUAGAUAUCAAGAGGAACACCUGAGGUGAAGACGGGUUGCUGGGCCAACACUGACGCUGAUGCGCGAAAGCCAGGGGAGCAAACGGG
Molecule: ribosomal RNA, 253 nt
Filed under: uncultured bacterium
Lineage: Bacteria
Description: partial 16S ribosomal RNA
Rfam family: Bacterial small subunit ribosomal RNA
Source: RNAcentral